CAUUGGAAAGCAGAAGUAGAGUCACAGAGGGGCUGCUGGUCUCCAAAAUGUCUCUCGAGCCACACUGGAGCUGCUGGGGCCUGCUGUGCUGGUGAUGGCUGAGAGCAUGAGAUAAGCCCUGGAGGUCCCUGGGCAUCCCUCAGAGGUCCAUGGCAAAGGUGGGACACCCACGGGAAUAGACAGGCUGAGGAAGCCCUCAAGUCACCCCUCAUGGAAGCCUGACCUUGAAUGUUAUCAUCCCUCUGCUUAAUAGCCCUUAAUAAAAAUCUGAGCAGGUGUCUGCAGGACACAGGACGCUUUCCGGAAAAAGCAUGGAAAAGUGAGUCUCCUAAAUGUUCCAGGUGACUGACUCAGGACACAUCUUAAAAGGAUCAAAGGAGAAUGGAGAAAAACUUCAGAAGAAAAUAACAGGUGGUUUGCAUGUUUUUUUGUGGGUUUUUUUUGUUUUUUGCAGAAAGUCCAGAAGUGCUCCACCAAAAAAUUGCAAGAUGGAAGCAGAGAGUACAGGAAAGGAAGGAGGAGAAAGAAAGGCUGGAACUUUUGAAUGCACAAAUAAAGCAGGCAGUGAAAGAUCUCAUGAGCCAAUUAAAAUCUAUGGCUGAAAAUCUGCCGGACACCAUGCAGUUGAGAGAUUUCCCUAGAGACCACAGUGAUGAGAGGAACUUGGAAGCAGAGCAAAGGAGGAAAGCAGGAAAAGAAGAACCACCCCACACACACUUAAGAAUCAAGUAAAUAAUUUUUUAAGUUAUGCACAUACAUUCUGUACGUACAGAAAAGAUAUCUAAAUUGUAUGCACACAGGAGGAGCAUUGCCCCCACAAGGAACAGUUCAUCCUACGUGGUGCGGGUGAAGAGUUUGGCAAAGGAAGUUUCCUGAGCUGUGAGCAGGGAUGAGGGCUCCGACAAGUGAUGGGAAGCCUCCCAGAUGCCAAGGUUUCCCAACCCCAGGUUUCAAGGGUAGGGGAGACGAAGUGAUAUCAUCUGAGCCCAGUGAGGCCCUGCCAAGGGACCAGGGAAAGCUGCCCCCACUUUCUGCUCCCAUACUCUCAUUGACUGUAGGUGCAUGAUCAGCUGCCUGCAAGAGGGCCUGGGCUGUGCAGGCCAGAGGAGUUGCCCUCCAGGGCACAGAGCAGGCAGAAAACAAAUUUGGAGAAUGGUCAGCACCCCGGGGUUUAUUUGUAUGAAAGUGUGUGUUUCAUUGCAUAUAUUCACAUCCAUCUAUUUAAUAAAUAUCCACGGAG
Non-coding RNA from Callithrix jacchus (white-tufted-ear marmoset), 1240 nucleotides. NCBI's taxonomy places the organism in Eukaryota, Metazoa, Chordata, Mammalia, Primates, Cebidae. The record is from RefSeq and is a predicted model, not a curated record.